UUAUACUCCCACGAAAAGGAAGGGGGCGCCCCUGACCCACUUCGGGUGAUGGAAAAUUUCUGGAAUGCACUAGUUGAUUGUGAGCUUGAUGAUAUGGGUUUUCCCGGGGAACAGAUCACCUGGAGACGGAGACGUAUACGAGAAUGGUUGGAUCAUGUUGUGUGUAAUGCAGAAUUCCAUGGUCUCUUUCCGCAUUCUGCUAUUACAAAUGUGCAUCACCUUAAAUCUGAUCACAGACCCGUUGUGCUAGAUACCGAAGGAGAUGCGGCGGUAUACAUACAACAAAGAGACAGGCAAUGGCAGUUUGAAGCUCGUUGGCUACAAGAGAAUGGAGUAAUGGAUAUAGUAGCGGAAGCAUGGGCACGAACACCAGCCUCAGCAUCUUUGUCCAAGAGAACGGCUGGAGUAUAUAGUGAACUCCACGAAUGGGACCAACUGGUUUUGAAGUCUCCACAGCACAGACUGAAGGACUUAAAGGAGGAGCUGAAGGUUCUACAGUCGUGGCCACUCACUGAAGAGUCGGCAGAUCGACAGAGGCAACUUUUGCUUGAGAUAGAAUAA
RNAcentral lists this ribosomal RNA (561 nucleotides) under Triticum aestivum (bread wheat). RNAcentral describes it as "partial small subunit ribosomal RNA". The record is from RNAcentral. Lineage: Eukaryota; Viridiplantae; Streptophyta; Magnoliopsida; Poales; Poaceae.